Molecule: long non-coding RNA, 372 nt
Filed under: Parus major (Great Tit)
Lineage: Eukaryota; Metazoa; Chordata; Aves; Passeriformes; Paridae
Description: lncRNA (ENSPMJG00000017296.1)
Source: RNAcentral
AUGGCACCAGGAAGAAGCAGCAGGAAAUGCAGAGUGAAAUUCUUCCACACAAGCUGCUGCCAGACCAUCGCCCACUGUGUCUGGAGAGUCCCUGCAUGCUCAGAUACAGAGCACAGAAUAAACCGUGACCCUGGGGAUGUCUGCAGGUUCCUGGGUUGCUGUUUGUGCUGUGGAUCCUGCUGUAAGCACACCGUGACUGCUGCCUUGACAUUGUGCCGAGCUGACAUCCCAACCGGUCUGACACUGAUGCCUUUGGGCAGAAAUCAGAGCCGGUUUGCUCCAUGGCUCGGUGCAGCCACGACGCCUGUAGCGCCUCGCAGAGCCCCCAGUGCCCUGCUGGGGAAAUGGAGCGAGCACGUGGGCCCCAGAUGA